AUGGUGGUGGAGUGGGCGCCGCAAGAGCAGGUGCUCCGGCACGCGGCCGUGGCCGGGUUCUGGACGCACGGGGGCUGGAACUCGAUGACGGAGAGCGUUUGCGAGGGGGUGCCGAUGCUGUGUCGCCCGCACUUCGGUGACCAGAUGGGGAACGCCAGGUACGUGGAGCACGUGUGGAGGGUGGGCUUCGAGGUCGCCGGCGUGCUCGAGAGCUGGCGGUGUGGAGGUCGCCAUCCGGCGGCUCGUCAUAGGGUGCGAGGGAGCGGAGAUGCGGGCCAGGGCCAGGGACCUGUCAUCGGGGUGGUUUUGCACAUCCCGCCCACGCCGGACAGGACCACGGCGUCCGCGUCCACGGACGCGCCCGCAGCUGAGGAGGAGGGGGAGGUGCUGCCGGAGAGGAGCUACGUCUCCGGCACCAUCUUUCCCGGCGGCCUCAACUGCGCGACGCGCGCCCACGUGCUCAGCAACUCUGCCGACGGUGCUCGGCCGACCGCCUAUGUCAACAUGUCCUGCAAGAUGCGCGGCUGCGACAUGCCGGCGUUGGCGGCCACCCGCCCUGUGAUCUGCGAGGAGUGCUACAUGGACUGCAUCGCCGCCUCCGGCAACUGCCCAGGCUGCAAGGAGGCCUACUCCGCCGGCAGCGACACCGACGACUCCGUCGACGAGGACGACGACGACGCCAUCUCCUCGUCGGAGGAGAGGGACCAGAUGCCCAUGACAUCCAUGUCCAAGCGCUUCUCCAUGGUGCACUCCAUCAAGAUGCCCAUGCCCAGUAGCAACGGCAAGCCGACCGACUUCGACCACGCCCGGUGGCUCUUCGAGACCAAGGGCACCUACAGCUACGGCAACGCUCUAUGGCCCGAGAACGAGCACGGCGGCGGCGGCAACAGCGCUGGGGCCACCUCCGGAUUCAUCGGCAUCGAGGAGCCGCCCAACUUCGGUGCCCGCUGCUGCCGGCCCCUGACGAGGAAGACCAGCUGGGUCGGCACUUGGCUCGCCGGGGCGACGGAUCACGCGCGCGGCAACCACGCUGGCAUCAUUCAGGCAAUGCAUGCGCCACCGACCUCGGAGCCAGUGCUUGGCGGUGAGCCGGCGGAGUCCGGUGCGCUGAUCGACACGACGGGCGUGGACAUCCGGCUGCCGAUGUUGGUGUAUGUUUCGCGCGAGAAGAGGCCGGGGUAUGACCACAACAAGAAGGCCGGCGCCAUGAACGCGCUGGUCAGGACGAGUGCCAUCAUGUCGAACGGGCCCUUCAUCCUCAACCUGGACUGCGACCACUACGUGCACAACUCGGCGGCACUCCGCGAAGGGAUGUGCUACAUGCUCGACCGCCGCGGCGACCGUGUCUGCUACGUGCAGUUCCCGCAGCGGUUCGAGGGCAUCGACCCCAACGACCGGUACGCCAACCACAACCUCGUCUUCUUCGAUGUCGCCAUGCGCGCCAUGGACAGGCUGCAGGGCCCCAUGUACGUCAGAGGCUGCAUCUUCCGCCGCACCGCUCUGUAUGGGUUCAGCCCGCCGCGCGCCACCAAGCACCACGGCUGGCUCGGCACGAAGAUCAAGCUGUUCCUGCGGAAGCCCACCAUGGGGAAGAAGACGGACAGGGAGCUGGUCAUGGCGAUUUUGCAAAAAUAA
This 1635-nucleotide ribosomal RNA is filed under the name Triticum aestivum (bread wheat). RNAcentral describes it as "partial small subunit ribosomal RNA". The record is from RNAcentral. Lineage: Eukaryota; Viridiplantae; Streptophyta; Magnoliopsida; Poales; Poaceae.